RNAcentral lists this ribosomal RNA (253 nucleotides) under uncultured bacterium. Its description in RNAcentral is "partial 16S ribosomal RNA". It matches the Rfam family "Bacterial small subunit ribosomal RNA", at positions 524 to 776 of the family's 1533-position model. The record is from RNAcentral.
UACGUAGGGUGCGAGCGUUGUCCGGAAUUAUUGGGCGUAAAGAGCUUGUAGGCGGUUUGUCGCGUCUGCUGUGAAAAUCCGGGGCUCAACCCCGGACUUGCAGUGGGUACGGGCAGACUAGAGUGUGGUAGGGGAGACUGGAAUUCCUGGUGUAGCGGUGGAAUGCGCAGAUAUCAGGAGGAACACCGAUGGCGAAGGCAGGUCUCUGGGCCAUUACUGACACUGAGGCACGAAAGCUGGGGGAGCAAACAGG